UAUAAAGCCUAAAAUAUUAUAGCUCAAGGCUUGAACGGUACCUGUGAAAAAGGCAAUAAUAGGGCGAGAAAGUGGGAAAAGGUCACUGUUUGAGCUCCUUUUCCUAUCUUUGGUAGCUAUGAAAACUAUCGGGUGACCCGAUAUAAAAUCACCGGGUUUCAUAGGAGUGGAGAUACUUAUCGGUGUUUAAGGGAAAAUCUUGUCGGCAGAAUUUUGUGGUAUAAAGUUUAUCACUCUUUCUCAUAAAUCUCUAAUCAACGAUUUCUCCCAAAUUUGCCCUCAAACCUCUCCAACUGCAACACCCUACUUCUCCAACUGCAACCCCCCACAUCUUCAAGCAUCUCCGCGACACGAAGAAGACGCAUUGCCGGCAGCGAUUUCAACUUUUCGAGACAGAUUUUCGCAAGAAUUGCUCAGAUUGUAAAGUUGUAGAAUUGUGUCUGUGGCCUCAUCUCUACCUAAAUCCGAUUGCGAAGAAGUUGAUAUGGAUUUGGAGUGAGUGAGUUGUGGGAUUCCAGCCACAUGUUUAUAUAGAGGAAGCACGUUUCUGUUGAUGGCGCCAAACUCAAGGAACUUAGCCGCCAAUUUUUUGGCAAGAAGAAUGAAGAAGAGUGGAUGGUAAUUUCAUCUCCCAAAAGUAAGGGUAUUAUUGUCAGCACAAGUAUUAUCAUCACGUGGGAAUAUAUCUCAUAUCAGCUACCAAACAUAGAUUCUGCUGAAUUCUUUCUCCAUUAGUCCGGGUUUAAUUUUGCUUGAAUCACACAUCAUCUUCCCGAUUUUAUUCGCGAUUCUCCGUGUCCACGUUUCCUGCUCGCUUCUGGGUCGCAGGGGAUUAGAAGCUGACAAAAAUAUUCUCUUGUCUCCUCGACGAACAGAUCAUGAAAUUCGAGACCUUCGCUGCCUUCGGAACUGUGCUCUCUUGCAAGAUCGCAGUCGAUCACAACGAGAACUCGAGGGGCUAUGGCUUCGUGCAGUUCGACAAGGAGGAAGCCGCG
Long non-coding RNA from Salvia splendens (bonfire salvia), 995 nucleotides. RefSeq lists it as uncharacterized. The transcript has 5 exons. NCBI's taxonomy places the organism in Eukaryota, Viridiplantae, Streptophyta, Magnoliopsida, Lamiales, Lamiaceae. The record is from RefSeq and is a predicted model, not a curated record.